GGGGGCGUGGCCCUUUGGGAGGGCGCCGGCUUCGCACGCCGGAGGUGCGGGUUCGAUUCCCGCCGCCUCCACCA
This 74-nucleotide transfer RNA is filed under the name Bacillota bacterium. RNAcentral's name for it is "tRNA-Ala". It matches the Rfam family "tRNA". Rfam says of the family: Transfer RNA (tRNA) molecules are approximately 80 nucleotides in length. Lineage: Bacteria; Bacillati; Bacillota. RNAcentral also lists the same sequence under 1 other name. The record is from RNAcentral.